UGAGUAACACGUAUCCAACCUGCCGUCUACUCUUGGACAGCCUUCUGAAAGGAAGAUUAAUACAAGAUGGCAUCAUGAGUCCGCAUGUUCACAUGAUUAAAGGUAUUCCGGUAGACGAUGGGGAUGCGUUCCAUUAGAUAGUAGGCGGGGUAACGGCCCACCUAGUCUUCGAUGGAUAGGGGUUCUGAGAGGAAGGUCCCCACAUUGGAACUGAGACACGGUCCAAACUCCUACGGAAGGCAGCAG
RNAcentral lists this ribosomal RNA (246 nucleotides) under uncultured bacterium. Its description in RNAcentral is "partial 16S ribosomal RNA". It matches the Rfam family "Bacterial small subunit ribosomal RNA", at positions 107 to 354 of the family's 1533-position model. The record is from RNAcentral.